Non-coding RNA from Psammomys obesus (fat sand rat), 84 nucleotides. The record is from the annotation of a RefSeq genome assembly. NCBI's taxonomy places the organism in Eukaryota, Metazoa, Chordata, Mammalia, Rodentia, Muridae.
GCCUUGAUAGUAUAAAAAUUACUUUGGUCUUGUAAACCAAAAAUGAAGAAAAUUCUUCUCAAGGCAUCAAGAAGGAAGGCUAAA